Molecule: ribosomal RNA, 730 nt
Filed under: Pseudomonas putida
Lineage: Bacteria; Pseudomonadati; Pseudomonadota; Gammaproteobacteria; Pseudomonadales; Pseudomonadaceae
Description: bacterial SSU rRNA
Rfam family: Bacterial small subunit ribosomal RNA
Source: RNAcentral
CGCUCAGAUUGAACGCUGGCGGCAGGCCUAACACAUGCAAGUCGAGCGGAUGACGGGAGCUUGCUCCUUGAUUCAGCGGCGGACGGGUGAGUAAUGCCUAGGAAUCUGCCUGGUAGUGGGGGACAACGUUUCGAAAGGAACGCUAAUACCGCAUACGUCCUACGGGAGAAAGCAGGGGACCUUCGGGCCUUGCGCUAUCAGAUGAGCCUAGGUCGGAUUAGCUAGUUGGUGAGGUAAUGGCUCACCAAGGCGACGAUCCGUAACUGGUCUGAGAGGAUGAUCAGUCACACUGGAACUGAGACACGGUCCAGACUCCUACGGGAGGCAGCAGUGGGGAAUAUUGGACAAUGGGCGAAAGCCUGAUCCAGCCAUGCCGCGUGUGUGAAGAAGGUCUUCGGAUUGUAAAGCACUUUAAGUUGGGAGGAAGGGCAGUAAGUUAAUACCUUGCUGUUUUGACGUUACCGACAGAAUAAGCACCGGCUAACUCUGUGCCAGCAGCCGCGGUAAUACAGAGGGUGCAAGCGUUAAUCGGAAUUACUGGGCGUAAAGCGCGCGUAGGUGGUUUGUUAAGUUGGAUGUGAAAGCCCCGGGCUCAACCUGGGAACUGCAUCCAAAACUGGCAAGCUAGAGUACGGUAGAGGGUGGUGGAAUUUCCUGUGUAGCGGUGAAAUGCGUAGAUAUAGGAAGGAACACCAGUGGCGAAGGCGACCACCUGGACUGAUACUGACAC